ACAUGCAAGUCGAACGAAGCACCUUGAUUUGAUUCUUCGGAUGAAGAUCUUGGUGACUGAGUGGCGGACGGGUGAGUAACGCGUGGGUAACCUGCCUCAUACAGGGGGAUAACAGUUAGAAAUGACUGCUAAUACCGCAUAAGACCACAGCACCGCAUGGUGCAGGGGUAAAAACUCCGGUGGUAUGAGAUGGACCCGCGUCUGAUUAGGUAGUUGGUGGGGUAACGGCCUACCAAGCCGACGAUCAGUAGCCGACCUGAGAGGGUGACCGGCCACAUUGGGACUGAGACACGGCCCAAACUCCUACGGGAGGCAGCAGUGGGGAAUAUUGCACAAUGGGGGAAACCCUGAUGCAGCGACGCCGCGUGAGCGAUGAAGUAUUUCGGUAUGUAAAGCUCUAUCAGCAGGGAAGAAAAUGACGGUACCUGACUAAGAAGCACCGGCUAAAUACGUGCCAGCAGCCGCGGUAAUACGUAUGGUGCAAGCGUUAUCCGGAUUUACUGGGUGUAAAGGGAGCGUAGACGGAGUGGCAAGUCUGAUGUGAAAACCCGGGGCUCAACCCCGGGACUGCAUUGGAAACUGUCAAUCUAGAGUACCGGAGAGGUAAGCGGAAUUCCUAGUGUAGCGGUGAAAUGCGUAGAUAUUAGGAGGAACACCAGUGGCGAAGGCGGC
RNAcentral lists this ribosomal RNA (672 nucleotides) under uncultured Lachnospiraceae bacterium. RNAcentral's name for it is "bacterial SSU rRNA". It matches the Rfam family "Bacterial small subunit ribosomal RNA", at positions 53 to 725 of the family's 1533-position model. Lineage: Bacteria; Bacillati; Bacillota; Clostridia; Lachnospirales; Lachnospiraceae. The record is from RNAcentral.